This 466-nucleotide ribosomal RNA is filed under the name uncultured bacterium. RNAcentral describes it as "partial 16S ribosomal RNA". It matches the Rfam family "Bacterial small subunit ribosomal RNA", at positions 28 to 507 of the family's 1533-position model. The record is from RNAcentral.
GAUGAACGCUGACAGAAUGCUUAACACAUGCAAGUCAACUUGAAUUUGGGUUUUUAACUUAGGUUUGGGUGGCGGACGGGUGAGUAACGCGUAAAGAACUUGCCUCACAGCUAGGGACAACAUUUGGAAACGAAUGCUAAUACCUAAUAUUAUGAUAAUAGGGCAUCCUAUAAUUAUGAAAGCUAUAAGCGCUGUGAGAGAGCUUUGCGUCCAUUAGCUAGUUGGAGAGGUAACGGCUCACCAAGGCGAUGAUGGGUAGCCGGCCUGAGAGGGUGAUCGGCCACAAGGGGACUGAGACACGGCCCUUACUCCUACGGGAGGCAGCAGUGGGGAAUAUUGGACAAUGGACCAAGAGUCUGAUCCAGCAAUUCUGUGUGCACGAUGAAGUUUUUCGGAAUGUAAAGUGCUUUCAGUUGGGAAGAAAGAAAUGACGGUACCAACAGAAGAAGUGACGGCUAAAUACGUG